CAAUAGCGUAUACUAAAGUUGUUGCAGUUAAAAAGCUCGUAGUUGAAUUUCUGGUCGUGAAACGUGGUCCGUUCCGCAAGGAAUGUGUACUGUCGAUUUAUGUCCAUCCUCGGUGUUAGUAUGCAUUACUUUAAUCGGUCGUGUAUACAACCACCGUCAUUUACUGUGAGCAAAAUAGAGUGUUCAAAGCAGGCUUAUGCCGUUGAAUAUAUUAGCAUGGAAUAAUAAGAUAUGACUUUGGUCUAUUUUGUUGGUUUGCACUCCAAAGUAAUGAUUAAUAGGGAUAGUUGGGGGUAUUCGUAUUCAAUUGUCAGAGGUGAAAUUCUUGGAUUUAUGGAAGACGAACUACUGCGAAAGCAUUUACCAAGGAUGUUUUCAUUAAUCAAGAACGAAAGUUAGGGGAUCGAAGACGAUCAGAUACCAU
Molecule: ribosomal RNA, 424 nt
Filed under: uncultured eukaryote
Lineage: Eukaryota
Description: SSU rRNA
Rfam family: Eukaryotic small subunit ribosomal RNA
Source: RNAcentral